GGAAAAACAGUGUUGACGUCUGCGGGUUUUGUAGGCAGUUAAGGGGUUAACUAGUUGUGACGUUCCAGUGUUUUGGCGGCUUUUAUGAAAUGGAGUCAGAGCUGAGCGCUGAGAGUAUGCGGGUGUACGGCGGGCUGGCGUCCGCACUGGAGAAACUGACCAAUGAAGCCUUGAUUUUGGCUGAGCAUCACAAACGGAUCAGAGAACAUAAUGCCUCCUUAACCAAGUUAAAUGCAAGCUUCAAUCAGGUCCAAUCAAGACUUGAACGUGUUGCAGCUAUAAAACCGGGUUUCAGCAAAAUGCAUAUAUGACAAAAAUUUGUGUUUUUUUUCUCUCCUAUGUCUGAAACCAGCAGGAUAUGUAAAAAAAACAAUAGGCAUCUCAACAUGUAACUGCUAUAUUAGCCUCUGCAGAGUUUGUAAGUGGAAAUAUAUUUUUUUCAUGAGAGCAUUAAAUAUAAUUGAAGUUAUGUGCUUUUCAUCUGCCAACCCAAUUGGACAAUUCUCCAACUUGAGCUUCAUACUGCUAGGAAAUUGUACCAAUGUGUUAUAGCUACCAUCAAUAUAUGGCUGGUUCCUUUAUGGCGUAGAAGUUAAAAAUGUAAAUACUAUAAAUUAAUUAUAGCUUAUAUGCAUAUCCUAUAAUAAUAAAAAAAAGCUGGCCAAUAUCUAAAGUACAUAACAAUCGCGCAAAAUGUAAUUUUUCUCACAGUACCAAGUAAUACCGCUAAUGCAUCAUAUCAGCCAAAAUAUCCAAUUAUACAACAAAA
Molecule: long non-coding RNA, 769 nt
Organism: Spea bombifrons (plains spadefoot toad)
Lineage: Eukaryota; Metazoa; Chordata; Amphibia; Anura; Pelobatidae
Exons: 3
Source: RefSeq, a predicted model, not a curated record